Small nucleolar RNA from Molossus molossus (Pallas's mastiff bat), 138 nucleotides. RefSeq annotates it as U8 small nucleolar RNA. The record is from RefSeq and is a predicted model, not a curated record. NCBI's taxonomy places the organism in Eukaryota, Metazoa, Chordata, Mammalia, Chiroptera, Molossidae. The transcript has a single exon.
ACAUAAGUAGGAUAAUCCUUACCUGUUCUUUUUUGGGGUGGAGGGAAGAUUGGAACUUGAUGAUUGGAGUUCCCAUGAUAUUUGAUUAAUGUCUCUGCAUAAUCAAGACUUGCAACACCUUGAUUGUACUUAUCUGAU